RNAcentral lists this ribosomal RNA (1231 nucleotides) under metagenome. RNAcentral describes it as "bacterial LSU rRNA". It matches the Rfam family "Bacterial large subunit ribosomal RNA", at positions 1564 to 2805 of the family's 2925-position model. The record is from RNAcentral.
UGAGUACGAGAUGCUACGGCAUCGAAGCAGUCUAUGUCAUACUUCCAAGAAAAGCUUGCACUGUCAUAAACAAAUAAUGCCUGUACCAUAACCGACACAGGUGGGUAGGUAGAGUAUACUAAGGGGCGCGAGAUAACUCUCUCUAAGGAACUCGGCAAAAUGACUCCGUAACUUCGGGAGAAGGAGUGCCUUAUUUAUAAGGUUGCAAUAACAAGAUCCAAGCAACUGUUUAUCAAAAACACAGGUCUCCGCUAAGUCGUAAGACGAUGUAUGGGGGCUGACGCCUGCCCAGUGCCAGAAGGUAAAAGAAGUUGGUUAGUGUAUGCGAAGCUGAUGACUGAAGCCCUGGUGAACGGCGGCCGUAACGAUAACGGUCCUAAGGUAGCGAAAUUCCUUGUCGGGUAAGUUCCGACCCGCACGAAAGGCGUAAUGAUUUGGAUACUGUCUCGGAGAGAGGCUCGGUGAAAUAGACUUGUCUGUGAAGAUGCGGACUACCUGCACCAGGACAGAAAGACCCUAUGAAGCUUUACUGUAACUUGAAAUUGGAAUUGGACUUUGCUUGCGCAGUAUAGGUGGGAAGCGUUGAAGAUAUUCUUGCGGGAGUAUUGGAGCUAUCAGUGAGAUACCACUCUUGUAAUGUUAGAUUUCUAGCUUUGAACCAUAAUCUGGUCAAAGAACAGUUUCAGGUGGGCAGUUUGACUGGGGCGGUCGCCUCCCAAACGGUAACGGAGGCGUACAAAGGUUUCCUCUGAACGGAUAGAAAUCGUAUCUAGAGUGUAAAGGCAUAAGGAAGCUUGACUGUGAGACCUACAAGUCGAGCAGGGACGAAAGUCGGUCUUAGUGAUCUGACGGUACUGAGUGGAAAGGCCGUCACUCAACGGAUAAAAGUUACUCUAGGAUAACAGGCUGAUCUCCCCCAAGAGUUCACAUCGACGGGGAGGUUUGGCACCUCGAUGUCGGCUCAUCGCAUCCUGGGGCGGUAGUACGUCCCAAGGGUUGGGCUGUUCGCCCAUGAAAGCGGUACGCGAGCUGGGUUCAGAACGUCGUGAGACAGUUCGGUCCAUAUCCGGUGUAGGCGUUAGAAUAUUGAGAGGAGCCUUCUUUAGUACGAGAGGACCGAGAAGGACACACCGCUGGUGUACCAGUUAUCGUGCCAACGGUAAACGCUGGGUAGCUAUGUGUGGUGUGGAUAACCGCUGAAAGCAUCUAAGUGGGAAGCCCACCUCAAGAU